CCUACGGGUGGCAGCAGUGAGGAAUAUUGGUCAAUGGACGCAAGUCUGAACCAGCCAUGCCGCGUGCAGGAAGACGGCUCUAUGAGUUGUAAACUGCUUUUGUACGAGGGUAAACGCAGAUACGCGUAUCUGUCUGAGAGUAGCGUACGAAUAAGGAUCGGCUAACGCCGUGCCAGCAGCCGCGGUAAUACGGAGGAUUCAAGCGUUAUCCGGAUUUAGUGGGUUUAAAGGGUGCGUAGGCGGGGAGGUAAGUCAGCGGUGAAAUGCCCCCGCUCAACGGGGUGAAGUGCCAUUGAUACUGCCUUGCUGGACUGCGGCUGCCGUGGGCGGACUGUGUGGUGUAGCGGUGACCUGCCUCGAUCUCACAC
Molecule: ribosomal RNA, 368 nt
Filed under: uncultured bacterium
Lineage: Bacteria
Description: partial 16S ribosomal RNA
Rfam family: Bacterial small subunit ribosomal RNA
Source: RNAcentral